This 394-nucleotide ribosomal RNA is filed under the name uncultured bacterium. RNAcentral's name for it is "partial 16S ribosomal RNA". It matches the Rfam family "Bacterial small subunit ribosomal RNA", at positions 523 to 918 of the family's 1533-position model. The record is from RNAcentral.
ACACGUAGGGGCCUGACGUUGUUCGGAAUCAUUGGGCGUAAAGGGCGCGCAGGCGGCCGUCCAAGUCCGGUGUUAAAUGGUCGGGCUCAACCCGAUCAUGCGCUGGGAACUGGGCGGCUGGAAUCCCGGAGGGGAUGCCGGAAUUCCAGGUGUAGGGGUGAAAUGCGUAGAUAUCAGGAAGAAUACCAGUGGCGAAGGCGGUUUGCUGGCUGCAUACUGACGCUGAAGCGCGAAAGCCAGGGGAGCGAACGGGAUUAGAUACCCCGGUAGUCCUGGCAGUAAACGAUGUAUGCUGGGUGUGAGACUAGCGAUAGUUUCGUGCCGAAGUUAACGCGAUAAGCAUACCGCCUGGGGAGUACGGUCGCAAGAUUGAAACUCAAAGGAAUUGGCGGGG